Molecule: long non-coding RNA, 2327 nt
Organism: Hemibagrus wyckioides
Lineage: Eukaryota; Metazoa; Chordata; Actinopteri; Siluriformes; Bagridae
Exons: 5
Source: RefSeq, a predicted model, not a curated record
GAGAGAGAGAGAGAGAGAGAGAGAGUGGUGGGGAGCGAGCGAGAGAGAGAGAGUCGUGCGCGCUGAGCCAUGAGCCAUUUUUGGGAAGCUCUUCGUGACAGUCGGUUGUGUCGUGAUCUUUGGAGAGGAGAAAAUUUACGCAUGGUGCGCAGCAUUUAUCCGAUCCACCGGCCGCAUUUCCAUUUACACUAUUCCCACCAUCACUAAAGGGCAUAGCCUGGUUGCUAAUAUUAGCACUUCCACUGGCCUGAAGAUUAAAGACCAUGAAAAAUCAAGUGGAAAAGCUACUUUAAGAAGUCAUAACAACGUAAAGCGAGGCCUUCCUGUCUGUACAGACCAAUCUGGUUUAACGGAUUCAGGGACCGUUAGGAAGAUGCAAAUGAACUUCCUCUAUUGAGUCAACUUAAUGGAAGAUUGACAGGUAACGAGAAGAACAAGCAUCCAUGAGCUGAAAUACUGGGAAAUGCCUUUUCUUGGAAGGAGCACCGCUUGAGGGUUUGAUGUUGGUAUGUCCAGAAAGUUUGCCAUGAAGUUGCAUGAUUGCUAUUUUGUAGUAAACAAACGUUUAGUCCUCUUUCUCUUUCUUUCUAUCUCUCUCUCUCUCUCUCUCUCUCUCAUGAUGACCUCUGCUGUUCCUUUGUAUCAUUUCUUGGUAAACCAAUUCAUUCUCCUUAAGUCAAAGGCAUCCUUAAAGGCUGUCUGAAAAAAUAUGCAUCAUAGAAACUAAUGGGGAUGUGGAAGCUUAAUGGUUAAAGUGACUACUGACUAGAAGGUUGUGAGUUCGAAUCCCAGGUUCACCAAGCUGCCACUGCUGGACCCUUAAGCAAGGCCCUUAACCCUCAAUUGCUUAAGUUGGCAUGGAAUACAGAUCAAAUGUAAGUCAAUCUGGUUAAGUGUGCAUGCCACAAAUGUAAGUAUGAAUAAUUUUGGAAGACUAAAAAAGUGUUCAAUUCUCCAUUGGGAGACCUGGACAAGCAGAGGGACUGAACACAAAAACAAAUGCUAAACUAUGACAUUUGAGAUGUGAACGUUAUUGUGUAUGUCAACAGCAUGCGUGUGGAUUUAAAAUCAAUUGCAUUGGACCUAAUUUAGGUAAGCGAUGUCGACUGGUUUCAUGUGUUCACUGGAAUUCAUGUGUGUCUUUGUAUUUCCAUUCAGAUGUUAAGAAAAAGAGACCUGGAGUGAUGCUGAUGCCUGCUUUGAGGUAAAGUAGAUUCAGAACAAAUGAUGUAGGAUUUCAGGCUUCAGAGCUCAUAAAGUUAUUAAGCUGAUAUGUACUAAUGUAUUUAUUGCAUAUUAAUUAAUAAUAUUGUGUCUCUUAAAUGAAAAUUCUCCAGCUGCAUUUAGCAUAAAUUUAGUUUAUUCAUUCAAGUUACUUUUCUUGUGUCCUUUUAUCAUUUCUUUAUAUUUUGGAAGUAAAGUGUCAGUCCCUUCAGGAAUCAUGCGAAAGCCAGGAUAUUUAGAGGAGCUUGCAUUUUUUUUUCUAAAUGGCCAAGGAUUUUCUGCAGAUAUGUUCCGAGACCUGUCAUGUGACAUCAUCACAACACACACCUUCAGCCAAAUCCCUCUUCUAUUCAUACGGUAUGUCUGGAAGAUGAGUGACACACACAUGUAAUGACUUUCUAUGAGAGCUGCAGAUGGUUGGAUAGAUGGAUGGAUGGAUGGAUGGAUGGAUGGAUGGAUGGAUGGAUGGAUGGAUGGAUGGAUAGAUAGAUAGAUAGAUAGAUAGAUAGAUAGAUAGAUAGAUAGAUAGAUAGAUAGACUUUAUUGAUCCCAUGAGGGAAAUUCUUGGGGACAGACAGACAGACAGACAGACAGACAGAUAGAUAGAUAGAUAGAUAGAUAGAUAGAUAGAUAGAUACUUUAUUGAUCCCAUGAGGGAAAUUCUUGGAGAGAGAGAGACAGACAGACAGACAGACAGACAGACAGACAGACAGAUAGAUAGAUAGAUAGAUAGAUAGAUAGAUAGAUAGAUAGAUAGAUAGAUACUUUAUUGAUCCCAUGAGGGAAAUUCUUGGAGAGAGAGAGACAGACAGACAGACAGACAGACAGAUAGAUAGAUAGAUAGAUAGAUAGAUAGAUAGAUAGAUAGAUAGAUAGAUAGAUAGAUACUUUAUUGAUCCCAUGAGGGAAAUUCUUGGAGACAGACAGACAGACAGACAGACAGACAGACAGACAGAUAGAUAGAUAGAUAGAUAGAUAGAUAGAUAGAUAGAUAGAUAGAUAGAUAGAUAGAUAGAUAGAUAGAUAGAUAGAUAGAAUUCCUGUUCAAGAUUCAAGAUUGUGUUUAAACACAAUGUCAUGUCCGUGAUUAUCUCUCUGUUCAA